RNAcentral lists this ribosomal RNA (492 nucleotides) under uncultured bacterium. Its description in RNAcentral is "partial 16S ribosomal RNA". It matches the Rfam family "Bacterial small subunit ribosomal RNA", at positions 29 to 508 of the family's 1533-position model. The record is from RNAcentral.
GUGAACGCUGGCGGUAGGCCUCACACCUGCAAGUCGCACGGCAGCACAGUAAGAGCUUGCUCUUACGGGUGGCGAGUGGCGGACGGGUGAGGAAUACAUCGGAAUCUACUUUUUCGUGGGGGAUAACGUAGGGAAACUUACGCUAAUACCGCAUACGACCUACGGGUGAAAGCAGGGGAUCUUCGGACCUUGCGCGAUUGAAUGAGCCGAUGUCGGAUUAGCUAGUUGGCGGGGUAAAGGCCCACCAAGGCGACGAUCCGUAGCUGGUCUGAGAGGAUGAUCAGCCACACUGGAACUGAGACACGGUCCAGACUCCUACGGGAGGCAGCAGUGGGGAAUAUUGGACAAUGGGCGCAAGCCUGAUCCAGCCAUACCGCGUGGGUGAAGAAGGCCUUCGGGUUGUAAAGCCCUUUUGUUGGGAAAGAAAAGCAGCAGGUUAAUACCCCGCUGUUCUGACGGUACCCAAAGAAUAAGCACCGGCUAACUUCGUGC